This 278-nucleotide ribosomal RNA is filed under the name uncultured bacterium. RNAcentral's name for it is "partial 16S ribosomal RNA". It matches the Rfam family "Bacterial small subunit ribosomal RNA", at positions 451 to 721 of the family's 1533-position model. The record is from RNAcentral.
CGCCGGUGUUAAUACCUACCGGGGAUUGCAGGACCUGAAGAAUAAACCCCGGCUAACUACCUGCCCGCAGCCGCGGUAAUACGUAGGGUGCAAGCGUUUAAAAAAGAAAACUGGGCGUUAAGCGUGCGCAGGGGGUUGUGUAAGUCUGAUGUGAAAACCCCGGGCUCAACCUGGGAACUGCAUUGGAGACUGCACGGCUAGAGUGCGUCAGAGGGGGGUAGAAUUCCACGUGUAGCAGUGAAAUGCGUAGAGAUGUGGAGGAAUACCGAUGGCGAAGG